UAGGGAAUCUUCGGCAAUGGGGGCAACCCUGACCGAGCAACGCCGCGUGAGUGAAGAAGGUUUUCGGAUCGUAAAGCUCUGUUGUAAGAGAAGAACGAGUGUGAGAGUGGAAAGUUCACACUGUGACGGUAACUUACCAGAAAGGGACGGCUAACUACGUGCCAGCAGCCGCGGUAAUACGUAGGUCCCGAGCGUUAUCCGGAUUUAUUGGGCGUAAAGCGAGCGCAGGCGGUUAGAUAAGUCUGAAGUUAAAGGCUGUGGCUUAACCAUAGUACGCUUUGGAAACUGUUUAACUUGAGUGCAGAAGGGGAGAGUGGAAUUCCAUGUGUAGCGGUGAAAUGCGUAGAUAUAUGGAGGAACACCGGUGGCGAAAGCGGCUCUCUGGUCUGUAACUGACGCUGAGGCUCGAAAGCGUGGGGAGCAAACAGGAUUAGAUACCCUGGUAGUCCACGCCGUAAACGAUGAGUGCUAGGUGUUGGGUCCUUUCCGGGACUCAGUGCCGCAGCUAACGCGUUAAGCACUCCGCCUGGGGAGUACGACCGCAAGGUUG
RNAcentral lists this ribosomal RNA (550 nucleotides) under uncultured bacterium. RNAcentral's name for it is "bacterial SSU rRNA". It matches the Rfam family "Bacterial small subunit ribosomal RNA", at positions 355 to 896 of the family's 1533-position model. The record is from RNAcentral.